Molecule: ribosomal RNA, 470 nt
Filed under: uncultured crenarchaeote
Lineage: Archaea; Thermoproteati; Thermoproteota
Description: bacterial SSU rRNA
Rfam family: Archaeal small subunit ribosomal RNA
Source: RNAcentral
UCAGUAACACGUGAUCAACUUACCCUAUGGAGAGAAAUAACUUCGGGAAACUGAAGAUAAUCUCUCAUAGUUGAAAAUGCCUGGAAGGGUUUUUCAACAAAAGAACAUUUCGAAUGGGAAAUGUUUCGCCAUAGGAUAGGAUCGCGCCCGAUUAUGGCUGUUGGUGAGGUAAUGGCUCACCAAACCUAUUAUCGGUAAGGGCCGUGAGAGCGGAAGCCCUGAGAUGGGUACUGAGACAAUGACCCAGGUCUUACGAGACGCAGCAGGCGCGAAAUCUUCACAAUGCACGAAAGUGAGAUGAGGUCACCCGGAGUGCUACAUAGUAGCUGUGGUAGGUGAGUAAGAUUCCCUACUAGGAAGGAGAGGGCAAGGCUGGUGCCAGCCGCCGCGGUAAUUAGCCGUAUCAGUGCCGUAGGGAAACCUUCGCCCGCUCCUGGGGAGUACGGUCGCAAGGCUGAAACUUAAAGGAA